UUUCAUAGAAACGUCACCUGUACGUUUGCUCUCCAAUGCGCAUGCUCACUACCUCGAUAUUCCCAUUUUUAUAGUGAUUUUGGCUAAAUAAGCACAAUUUAUUUGAUCAUUGUUGUCAUUUUAUUCCCUAUUUGAAAUAUGUCAUUCGGCGAUUUUGAUCGUUCCUCAUUCCAGUAAACAAACUUGAGAUAACACAUGGCUUGAGAUAACCAAGAUUGCCGCUGAAGGGAUUAGCUUGUUUCUCAACCAUCUCUUGAAUAUCAACAGAAGAACACCAAUGAAAGCUCUCCAGCAGCCGUCAUCAGAAGAGGAAGCCAACCUAGAAAAGAAUAAUGCAUAAAGAUAGCAAAAAACUGGGAACACACAAAAAAGGGGGCAAAAGAAGAAGGUUGGUGGAUUUGGAUUAGGGAAUCCCGUGGUUGAAGGGGGGACAUGCUCAGGCAAUUUGUUUCCCAUUAUUUUAAUGUAAGGGCGACUUCUUCCAAACAAAACAGGAUUGCUGGCAGCUGAGUGGGCCUCUGGUCGGUGCCUGCAAAGUCAAGAUCUGAAGACUUCUCUCUCAAACUCUGAGUCAUAUUUAAACGGAAGAUAAGUCACAAAAGACACUGAACAUUAAUCAUUAAACGUUAGAUCCGUAGGGCAUCUAUAAAUCACUUGGAGCCCUUUCACCUCCCAUUAAGUAGUGUGUGGAUCUAGCCAAGUCAUAAUUUCUACAUUCAUCAGAUGUUAUUGUUUUCUUUGAAUGCAGUGUAAUGAGGAAAUAACAAAAUGAUACAA
Cyprinus carpio carpio is the source of this 777-nucleotide long non-coding RNA. The record is from Ensembl. Lineage: Eukaryota; Metazoa; Chordata; Actinopteri; Cypriniformes; Cyprinidae.